This 274-nucleotide ribosomal RNA is filed under the name uncultured bacterium. Its description in RNAcentral is "partial 16S ribosomal RNA". It matches the Rfam family "Bacterial small subunit ribosomal RNA", at positions 523 to 796 of the family's 1533-position model. The record is from RNAcentral.
AUACGGAGGGUGCAAGCGUUGUUCGGAAUUACUGGGCGUAAAGCGUACGUAGGCGGACUGAUCAGUUGGGGGUGAAAUCCCAGGGCUUAACCCUGGAACUGCCUUCAAUACUGUCAGUCUUGAGUUUGGGAGAGGUGAGUGGAAUUCCUAGUGUAGAGGUGAAAUUCAUAGAUAUUAGGAGGAACACCAGUGGCGAAGGCGGCUCACUGGCCCAUUACUGACGCUGAGGUACGAAAGCGUGGGGAGCAAACAGGAUUAGAAACCCUAGUAGUCC